CAACUAUUCAUGGUGGAUCACUUGGCUCUUGCAUCGAUGAAGAACGCAGCGAAUUGCGAAAAUUGACGUGACUCGCCUCAUCGUGAAUCAUUGAGUUUUUGAACGCACAUUGCACCAGGCACUUGUGCCUGGUAUACCUGUUUGAGCAUCAGUA
Molecule: ribosomal RNA, 154 nt
Filed under: Dipsacomyces acuminosporus
Lineage: Eukaryota; Fungi; Kickxellomycota; Kickxellomycetes; Kickxellales; Kickxellaceae
Description: 5.8S ribosomal RNA
Rfam family: 5.8S ribosomal RNA
About the family: 5.8S ribosomal RNA (5.8S rRNA) is a component of the large subunit of the eukaryotic ribosome. It is transcribed by RNA polymerase I as part of the 45S precursor that also contains 18S and 28S rRNA.
Source: RNAcentral